Molecule: microRNA precursor, 74 nt
Filed under: Bos taurus (domestic cattle)
Lineage: Eukaryota; Metazoa; Chordata; Mammalia; Artiodactyla; Bovidae
Also listed under: 3 other names
Description: microRNA bta-mir-2363 precursor (bta-mir-2363-1)
Rfam family: mir-2363 microRNA precursor family
Source: miRBase by way of RNAcentral
UCUAAGAAAUAUUCCUUGACCAAGUUGAAAUUAAUGAGAAUAGGUUUCAACUUGGUCAAGGAAUAUUUCUUAGA